GAUGAACGCUGGCGGCGUGCCUAAUACAUGCAAGUCGAGCGAACGGACGAUAAGCUUGCUCCCCUGAGGUUAGCGGCGGACGGGUGAGUAACACGUGGAUAACCUACCUAUAAGACUGGGAUAACUUCGGGAAACCGGAGCUAAUAACGGAUAAUAUUUUGAACCGCAUGGUUCAAAAGUGCAUGACGGUCUUGCUGUCACUUAUAGAUGGAUCCGCGCUGCAUUAGCUAGUUGGUAAGGUAACGGCUUACCAAGGCAACGAUGCAUAGCCGACCUGAGAGGGUGAUCGGCCACACUGGAACUGAGACACGGUCCAGACUCCUACGGGAGGCAGCAGUAGGGAAUCUUCCGCAAUGGGCGAAAGCCUGACGGAGCAACGCCGCGUGAGUGAUGAAGGUCUUCGGGUCGUAAAGCUCUGUUAUUAGGGAAGAACAUAUGUGUAAUUAACUGUGCACAUCUUGACGGUACCUAAUCAGAAAGCCACGGCUAACUACGUG
This 497-nucleotide ribosomal RNA is filed under the name uncultured bacterium. RNAcentral describes it as "partial 16S ribosomal RNA". It matches the Rfam family "Bacterial small subunit ribosomal RNA", at positions 28 to 507 of the family's 1533-position model. The record is from RNAcentral.